This 1362-nucleotide ribosomal RNA is filed under the name human gut metagenome. Its description in RNAcentral is "bacterial LSU rRNA". It matches the Rfam family "Bacterial large subunit ribosomal RNA", at positions 525 to 1978 of the family's 2925-position model. The record is from RNAcentral.
CCCGGGAGGGGAGUGAAAAAGAACCUGAAACCCUAUGCUUACAAGCACCGAGAGCACGUCAAAGUGUGAUCGGGUACUUUUUGUAGAACGGUCCGGCGAGCGUAUGUACGUAGCAAGGUUAAGUUCUUCAGGAACGGAGCCGAAGCGAGAGCAAGUCUGAAUAGGGCGUCAAGUUACGUGCAUAGGGCCCGAAACCGGGUGACCUAUCCAUGUCCAGGCUGAAGUUGGGGUAAGACCCAAUGGAGGGCCGAACCGACCUCCGUUGAAAAGGCGGCGGAUGAGGUGUGGAUAGCGGAGAAAUUCCAAUCGAACCCGGAGAUAGCUGGUUCUCCCCGAAAUAGCUUUAGGGCUAGCGUUGUAUAUCAUUACCGGAGGUAAAGCACUGAAUGGCCUAGGGCCCUAACGGGUACCGAAGCCUAUCAAACUAAGAAUGCCGGAUAAUGUGAGUACAGCAGUCAGACUAUGGGAGAUAAGUUUCAUGGUCAAAAGGGAAACAGCCCAGACCCACAGCUAAGGUCCCAAAUAUGAUUUAAGUGGAAAACGAUGUGGAGUUGCGAAAACAACCAGGAUGUUGGCUUAGAAGCAGCCACUCAUUCAAAGAGUGCGUAAUAGCUCACUGGUCGAGUGACUCUGCGCGGAAAAUUCAACGGGGCUAAAAUCAUAACCGAAGCUUGGGAUGCAUUAAAUGCAUGGUAGGGGAGCGUUGUGUAAGGGGUGAAGUCACAGCGGAAGCGGUGGUGGACAUUACACAAGUGAGAAUGCCGGAAUGAGUAGCGCGAAUUAUGUGAGAAUCAUAAUGGCCGAAAGUCUAAGGUUUUUGGAGGAAGGUUCGUCCGCUCCAAGUUAGUCGGGAGCUAAGGUGAGGCCGAAAGGCGUAGCCGAUGCACAUACGGUAGAAAUUCCGUAACCGUCGAAGUAUUUAAGCAAAGGGACACUUUGGGAAGGUACAAGCCAGGCGUUGGUAGCCCUGGCCGUAAGGGACUGAAAAUUAGUAGGGAAGUGUACUGGAACAGAGGCGAGAAAAGCUUUGUGUAUAUACAAGACGCCCGUACCGCAAACCGACACAGGUAGAUGGGAAGAGAAUUCUAAGGCCAACGGGAGAAGGGUUGUUAAGGAACUCGGCAAGUUGACCCCGUAACUUCGGAAGAAGGGGUGCUCUGGAAACAGAGCCGCAGAGAAUAGGUCCAGGCGACUGUUUAGCAAAAACACAGCUCUAUGCUAAAUCGAAAGAUGAUGUAUAUGGGGUGACACCUGCCCGGUGCUGGAAGGUUAAGAGGAGAUGUGCAAGCAUUGAAUCGAAGCCCCAGUAAACGGCGGCCGUAACUAUAACGGUCCUAAGGUAGCGAAAUUCCUUGUCAGGUA